This 492-nucleotide ribosomal RNA is filed under the name uncultured bacterium. Its description in RNAcentral is "partial 16S ribosomal RNA". It matches the Rfam family "Bacterial small subunit ribosomal RNA", at positions 29 to 507 of the family's 1533-position model. The record is from RNAcentral.
AGUGAACGCUGGCGGUAGGCCUAACACAUGCAAGUCGAACGGCAGCACAGUAAGAGCUUGCUCUUACGGGUGGCGAGUGGCGGACGGGUGAGGAAUACAUCGGAAUCUACUUUUUCGUGGGGGCUAACGUAGGGAAACUUACGCUAAUACCGCAUACGACCUACGGGUGAAAGCAGGGGAUCUUCGGACCUUGCGCGAUUGAAUGAGCCGAUGUCGGAUUAGCUAGUUGGUGGGGUAAUGGCCCACUAAGGCGACGAUCCGUAGCUGGUCUGAGAGGAUGAUCAGCCACACUGGAACUGAGGCACGGUCCAGACUCCUACGGGAGGCAGCAGUGGGGAAUAUUGGACAAUGGGCGCAAGCCUGAUCCAGCCAUACCGCGUGGGUGAAGAAGGCCUUCGGGUUGUAAAGCCCUUUUGUUGGGAAAGAAAAGCAGCAGGUUAAUACCCCGCUGUUCUGACGGUACCCAAAGAAUAAGCACCGGCUAACUUCGUG